GCACUAAUGGGGUAGUGGUAACCUGGGUCGUUGCCAUACGAGUAUUGACUCGACCCGCCGGGGGUUCGAUUCCCCCUUAGUGCA
This 84-nucleotide transfer RNA is filed under the name Panus rudis PR-1116 ss-1. Its description in RNAcentral is "tRNA-Gly". It matches the Rfam family "tRNA". Rfam says of the family: Transfer RNA (tRNA) molecules are approximately 80 nucleotides in length. Their secondary structure includes four short double-helical elements and three loops (D, anti-codon, and T loops). Further hydrogen bonds mediate the characteristic L-shaped molecular structure. tRNAs have two regions of fundamental functional importance: the anti-codon, which is responsible for specific mRNA codon recognition, and the 3' end, to which the tRNAs corresponding amino acid is attached (by aminoacyl-tRNA synthetases). tRNAs cope with the degeneracy of the genetic code in two manners: having more than one tRNA (with a specific anti-codon) for a particular amino acid; and 'wobble' base-pairing, i.e. permitting non-standard base-pairing at the 3rd anti-codon position. The record is from RNAcentral. Lineage: Eukaryota; Fungi; Basidiomycota; Agaricomycetes; Polyporales; Panaceae.